AGAUUGAACGCUGGCGGCAUGCUUUACACAUGCAAGUCGAACGCGGUCGAGGGGCAACUCUUGGCCGAGUGGCGAACGGGUGAGUAAUACAUCGGAACGUGCCCCGUUGUGGGGGAUAACCCACCGAAAGGUGGGCUAAUACCGCAUACGCCCUGAGGGGGAAAGCGGGGGACCUGAGAGGGCCUCGCGCGAUGGGAGCGGCCGAUGUCGGAUUAGCUAGUAGGUUGGGUAAAGGCUGACCUAGGCGACGAUCCGUAGCUGGUCUGAGAGGAUGAUCAGCCACACUGGGACUGAGACACGGCCCAGACUCCUACGGGAGGCAGCAGUGGGGAAUUUUGGACAAUGGGGGCAACCCUGAUCCAGCCAUGCCGCGUGAGUGAAGAAGGCCUUCGGGUUGUAAAGCUCUUUCGGCCGGAACGAAAUCGCAUCGCCUAAUACGGGGUGUGGAUGACGGUACCGGAAGAAGAAGCACCGGCUAACUACGUGCCAGCAGCCGCGGUAAUACGUAGGGUGCGAGCGUUAAUCGGAAUUACUGGGCGUAAAGCGUGCGCAGGCGGCUCUUUAAGUCAGAUGUGAAAGCCCCGGACUUAACCUGGGAACUGCGUUUGAAACUGGAGGGCUGGAGUGUGGCAGAGGGAGGUGGAAUUCCACGUGUAGCAGUGAAAUGCGUAGAGAUGUGGAGGAACACCAAUGGCGAAGGCAGCCUCCUGGGCCAACACUGACGCUCAUGCACGAAAGCGUGGGGAGCAAACAGGAUUAGAUACCCUGGUAGUCCACGCCCUAAACGAUGUCAACUGGUUGUUGGGGAAGGAAACUUCCUUAGUACCGCAGCUAACGCGUGAAGUCGACCGCCUGGGGGAGUACGGUCGCAAGAUUAAA
This 879-nucleotide ribosomal RNA is filed under the name uncultured bacterium. Its description in RNAcentral is "bacterial SSU rRNA". It matches the Rfam family "Bacterial small subunit ribosomal RNA", at positions 26 to 898 of the family's 1533-position model. The record is from RNAcentral.